This 177-nucleotide unclassified non-coding RNA is filed under the name uncultured fungus. Its description in RNAcentral is "sequence contains ITS1". The record is from RNAcentral. Lineage: Eukaryota; Fungi.
UCGCUAAAAAAUUAUUCAUCUGCGCUCUUCGCCGCAACCGGAUGUCGUUCUGGCCAUAUCGCGACCACGAGGAGAGCAACAAUGAUCCCGACUGAGACUUCAAUGAACCGAUGCAGGGCAACGAUCCACGCGGGAUUUGCCCGCGGAAUCAAAACAAUGAUCGUCAGGGUGACACUG